CAGCUUUGGGAUCCCACAGUGGCUCCUCUCUGCUCUGCGUUAUCACAGCACACUUCCAUGAGCCGCUCUCCUGGAUGGACAGAACGGUGGCCACCUAGGAAGAAAAGCCUCCCUCUACCAUCUGCACAUCCACAGAUCAGCAACAGUCGUGCCUUCAAAGCCUCAGUGCUAGGGAUUGAGUCCAAGGCCUUGAGCAUGGCAGGCAAGUGCUCUUCCAUUGAGCGACAUCCUCAGCCCUUUUGACGAAAAUAAAGCAAAAAAUCAGUAGGAUCAAGAUGACUCCAAUCCCGGAGAACCAACUUGUGUGGAUCCCUGUGAUGGACUCGGAUAGAGAAUAUAAUUUAAUAUGGUGGUCCCACUUCGGGGCAGGGAACAGACAUGCAGUCACUUCAGUGACCUGGGCAAGAGGUUUUUUCAGUGGCCCUGGUUUCAGUUUGAUCCAAGGAGCCAACGACUAGGAAAUCAUCAUCAGCACAGGCUCAAGGAAGAGGUGAGAAAGGAAGACGCAAGGCAGCCAGGGGAGGGAACGAAGGCACAAGGAGGUCAAAGAAGAUGGCCUGGGCCUAAAGAGGGUGCCCAGCGUGCUCCUCUCAAGCUAGCAGCAGAGGUUGGGUGACCUCACCCGAGAGCGCCUCGGCUCUUUCCUGAGGUUUCCUGGUCACAUGUGAGAUUCAAAUGGCUGUGUCUCACAGGCCUGAGGUGGAAGGUGGGAUUUGUGACUACAGAACAUGAGAGGCUCCCUCAAGUACAAGUUUCUGGUCACCCCACAGAAUGAGCCACGGACAGACUCCUAUACCUGAGCAGAAACUACCUGAGAAGAAGCAAGGGAGAGAAAACGUACAGAAUUGUUUAUCUAGUUCUAACUCUGCCGGGGACUUUUUGUUUUGGUAGUAGAUAGGUUCAUAAAAUAUAUUUGAUAUUGAAACUGAAAGAUGGAGCCAGGUGGUGGUGGUGCACGCCUUUAAUCCCAGCACUCUGGAGGCAGAGGCAGAUGGAUCUCGGUGAGUUUGAGGUCAUCCUGGUCUACAGAGUGAGUUCAGGACAGCCAAAGAUACACAGAGAAACCCUGUCAAAACAACAACAACAAAGUGAGAGACCUACUGGGAAAUUCCACAGCUCCCACUCCGAGUGCUAAUUCUGACUGUGCAUCCGUUCACUACGUUGAACAGUGUUUGAAUCUGCUUAAUUUUGGUGUGUGAUGCUUUUAUUUAUUCCCAAGGUUUCUUUUCUAAUAAAGAAGAAAAAGAGGAAGAAGGAAAAGAAA
This is a long non-coding RNA of Mesocricetus auratus (golden hamster), 1264 nucleotides long. RefSeq lists it as uncharacterized. The record is from RefSeq and is a predicted model, not a curated record. Lineage: Eukaryota; Metazoa; Chordata; Mammalia; Rodentia; Cricetidae. The transcript is spliced from 2 exons.